Molecule: ribosomal RNA, 440 nt
Filed under: uncultured bacterium
Lineage: Bacteria
Description: partial 16S ribosomal RNA
Rfam family: Bacterial small subunit ribosomal RNA
Source: RNAcentral
CCUACGGGCGGCAGCAGUGGGGAAUAUUGCACAAUGGGGGGAACCCUGAUGCAGCGACGCCGCGUGAGUGAAGAAGGAUUUCGGUAUGUAAAGCUCUAUCAGCAGGGAAGAUAAUGACGGUACCUGACUAAGACGCCCCGUCUAACUACGGGCCAGCAGCCGCGGUAAUACGGAGGGUGCCAGCGUUAUCCGGAUUUACUGGGUGUAAAGGGUGCGUAGGUGGCAGGGCAAGCUAGAUGUGAAAGCUCGGGGCUCAACCCGGGUACUGCCUUUGAAACUGUCGGUCUGGAGUGCAGGAGAGGUAAGCGGAAUGUCUAGUGUAGCGGUGAAAUGCGUAGAGAUUAGGAGGAACACCAGUGGCGAAGGCAGCUUACUGGACUGUAACUGACACUGAGGCACGAAAGCGUGGGGAGCAAACAGGAUUAGAUACCCUGGUAGUC